Molecule: ribosomal RNA, 253 nt
Filed under: uncultured bacterium
Lineage: Bacteria
Description: partial 16S ribosomal RNA
Rfam family: Bacterial small subunit ribosomal RNA
Source: RNAcentral
UACGUAGGUGGCAAGCGUUAUCCGGAAUUACUGGGCGUAAAGGGCGCGUAGGCGGCGUGUCAAGUCAGGCGUGAAAGCCCCGGGCUCAACCUGGGAACCGCGCUUGAGACUGGCAUGCUCGAGUUCGGGAGAGGAUGGUGGAAUUCCCAGUGUAGAGGUGAAAUUCGUAGAUAUUGGGAAGAACACCGAUGGCGAAGGCAGCCAUCUGGACCGACACUGACGCUGAGGCGCGUAAGCGUGGGGAGCAAACAGG